UGGGGAAUAUUGCACAAUGGAGGGAACUCUGAUGCAGCGACGCCGCGUGAGUGAUGAAGGAAUUCGUUUCGUAAAACUCUGUUCUAUGGGAAGAAAAGGACUGUACCAUAGGAGAAAGCUCCGGCUAAAUACGUGCCAGCAGCCGCGGUAAUACGUAUGGAGCGAGCGUUGUCCGGAAUUAUUGGGCGUAAAGGGUGCGCAGGCGGCUUUACAAGUUGGAUGUGAAAUAUUGUGGCUCAACCACAAACGUGCAUCCAAAACUGCAAAGCUUGAGUUAAGGAGAGGUAAGUGGAAUUCCUGGUGUAGCGGUGGAAUGCGUAGAUAUCAGGAGGAAUACCGGGGGCGAAGGCGACUUACUGGACUUAAACUGACGCUCAGGCACGAAAGCGUGGGGAGCAAACAGGA
Molecule: ribosomal RNA, 405 nt
Filed under: Fusobacteriota bacterium
Lineage: Bacteria; Fusobacteriati; Fusobacteriota
Description: Fusobacteria bacterium partial 16S ribosomal RNA
Rfam family: Bacterial small subunit ribosomal RNA
Source: RNAcentral